Molecule: non-coding RNA, 31 nt
Filed under: Mus musculus (house mouse)
Lineage: Eukaryota; Metazoa; Chordata; Mammalia; Rodentia; Muridae
Source: RNAcentral
UAUAAAGUGUGGUCUGAUGUCGAACUCCUGU